GGUUAAGCGACUAAGCGUACACGGUGGAUGCCCUGGCAGUCAGAGGCGAUGAAGGACGUGCUAAUCUGCGAAAAGCGUCGGUAAGGUGAUAUGAACCGUUACAGCCGGCGAUGUCCGAAUGGGGAAACCCAGUGUGAUUCGUCACACUAUCGUUAACUGAAUACAUAGGUUAACGAGGCGAACCGGGGGAACUGAAACAUCUAAGUACCCCGAGGAAAAGAAAUCAACCGAGAUUCCCCCAGUAGCGGCGAGCGAACGGGGAGCAGCCCAGAGUCUGAAUCAGCUUGUGUGUUAGUGGAACGGUCUGGAAAGUCCGACGGUACAGGGUGAUAGUCCCGUACACCAAAAUGCACAGGCUGUGAACUCGAAGAGUAGGGCGGGACACGUGGUAUCCUGUCUGAAUAUGGGGGGACCAUCCUCCAAGGCUAAAUACUCCUGACUGACCGAUAGUGAACCAGUACCGUGAGGGAAAGGCGAAAAGAACCCCGGCGAGGGGAGUGAAAAAGAACCUGAAACCGUGUACGUACAAGCAGUGGGAGCACCUUCGGGUGUGACUGCGUACCUUUUGUAUAAUGGGUCAGCGACUUAUAUUCUGUAGCAAGGUUAACCGUAUAGGGGAGCCGCAGGGAAACCGAGUCUUAACUGGGCGUUAAGUUGCAGGGUAUAGACCCGAAACCCGGUGAUCUAGCCAUGGGCAGGUUGAAGGUUGGGUAACACUAACUGGAGGACCGAACCGACUAAUGUUGAAAAAUUAGCGGAUGACUUGUGGCUGGGGGUGAAAGGCCAAUCAAACCGGGAGAUAGCUGGUUCUCCCCGAAAGCUAUUUAGGUAGCGCCUCGUGAAUUCAUCUUCGGGGGUAGAGCACUGUUUCGGCUAGGGGGUCAUCCCGACUUACCAACCCGAUGCAAACUACGAAUACCGAAGAAUGUUAUCACGGGAGACACACGGCGGGUGCUAACGUCCGUCGUGAAGAGGGAAACAACCCAGACCGCCAGCUAAGGUCCCAAAGUCAUGGUUAAGUGGGAAACGAUGUGGGAAGGCACAGACAGCCAGGAUGUUGGCUUAGAAGCAGCCAUCAUUUAAAGAAAGCGUAAUAGCUCACUGGUCGAGUCGGCCUGCGCGGAAGAUGUAACGGGGCUAAACCAUGCACCGAAGCUGCGGCAGCGACACUAUGUGUUGUUGGGUAGGGGAGCGUUCUGUAAGCCUGCGAAGGUGACCUGUGAGGGUUGCUGGAGGUAUCAGAAGUGCGAAUGCUGACAUAAGUAACGAUAAAGCGGGUGAAAAGCCCGCUCGCCGGAAGACCAAGGGUUCCUGUCCAACGUUAAUCGGGGCAGGGUGAGUCGACCCCUAAGGCGAGGCCGAAAGGCGUAGUCGAUGGGAAACAGGUUAAUAUUCCUGUACUUGGUGUUACUGCGAAGGGGGGACGGAGAAGGCUAUGUUAGCCGGGCGACGGUUGUCCCGGUUUAAGCAUGUAGGCUGGUUAUCCAGGCAAAUCCGGAUAAUCAAGGCUGAGGUGUGAUGACGAGGCACUACGGUGCUGAAGUAACAAAUGCCCUGCUUCCAGGAAAAGCCUCUAAGCAUCAGGUAACAUCAAAUCGUACCCCAAACCGACACAGGUGGUCAGGUAGAGAAUACCAAGGCGCUUGAGAGAACUCGGGUGAAGGAACUAGGCAAAAUGGUGCCGUAACUUCGGGAGAAGGCACGCUGGUGUGUAGGUGAAGUCCCUGCGGAUGGAGCUGAGACCAGUCGAAGAUACCAGCUGGCUGCAACUGUUUAUUAAAAACACAGCACUGUGCAAACACGAAAGUGGACGUAUACGGUGUGACGCCUGCCCGGUGCCGGAAGGUUAAUUGAUGGGGUUAUCCGUAAGGAGAAGCUCUUGAUCGAAGCCCCGGUAAACGGCGGCCGUAACUAUAACGGUCCUAAGGUAGCGAAAUUCCUUGUCGGGUAAGUUCCGACCUGCACGAAUGGCGUAAUGAUGGCCAGGCUGUCUCCACCCGAGACUCAGUGAAAUUGAACUCGCUGUGAAGAUGCAGUGUACCCGCGGCAAGACGGAAAGACCCCGUGAACCUUUACUAUAGCUUGACACUGAACAUUGAGCCUUGAUGUGUAGGAUAGGUGGGAGGCUUUGAAGCGUGGACGCCAGUCUGCGUGGAGCCAACCUUGAAAUACCACCCUUUAAUGUUUGAUGUUCUAACGUUGGCCCCUUACCGGGGUUGCGGACAGUGUCUGGUGGGUAGUUUGACUGGGGCGGUCUCCUCCCAAAGCGUAACGGAGGAGCACGAAGGUUAGCUAAUCCUGGUCGGACAUCAGGAGGUUAGUGCAAUGGCAUAAGCUAGCUUGACUGCGAGCGUGACGGCGCGAGCAGGUGCGAAAGCAGGUCAUAGUGAUCCGGUGGUUCUGAAUGGAAGGGCCAUCGCUCAACGGAUAAAAGGUACUCCGGGGAUAACAGGCUGAUACCGCCCAAGAGUUCAUAUCGACGGCGGUGUUUGGCACCUCGAUGUCGGCUCAUCACAUCCUGGGGCUGAAGUAGGUCCCAAGGGUAUGGCUGUUCGCCAUUUAAAGUGGUACGCGAGCUGGGUUUAGAACGUCGUGAGACAGUUCGGUCCCUAUCUGCCGUGGGCGCUGGAGAAUUGAGGGGGGCUGCUCCUAGUACGAGAGGACCGGAGUGGACGCAUCACUGGUGUUCGGGUUGUCAUGCCAAUGGCACUGCCCGGUAGCUAAAUGCGGAAGAGAUAAGUGCUGAAAGCAUCUAAGCACGAAACUUGCCCCGAGAUGAGUUCUCCCUGAGACUUUAAGUCUCCUGAAGGAACGUUAAAGACGAUGACGUUGAUAGGCCGGGUGUGUAAGCGCAGCGAUGCGUUGAGCUAACCGGUACUAAUGAACCGUGAGGCUUAACCUU
RNAcentral lists this ribosomal RNA (2902 nucleotides) under Escherichia coli. RNAcentral's name for it is "23S ribosomal RNA". It matches the Rfam family "Bacterial large subunit ribosomal RNA". RNAcentral also lists the same sequence under 2 other names. Lineage: Bacteria; Pseudomonadati; Pseudomonadota; Gammaproteobacteria; Enterobacterales; Enterobacteriaceae. The record is from RNAcentral.